RNAcentral lists this non-coding RNA (23 nucleotides) under Cricetulus griseus (Chinese hamster). Lineage: Eukaryota; Metazoa; Chordata; Mammalia; Rodentia; Cricetidae. The record is from RNAcentral.
GAAGGACCACGCGGGAAGCAGCG